This is a long non-coding RNA of Perognathus longimembris pacificus (Pacific pocket mouse), 3367 nucleotides long. RefSeq lists it as uncharacterized. The transcript is spliced from 2 exons. The record is from RefSeq and is a predicted model, not a curated record. NCBI's taxonomy places the organism in Eukaryota, Metazoa, Chordata, Mammalia, Rodentia, Heteromyidae.
AUCUCACAGACUUUCCUGCUCAGGCUAGCUUUGCACUGUGAUCCUCAGAUCUCAACCUCCUGUGUUAGCUAGGGUUACAGGUUUGAGCCACUGGUGCCUGGCUUAAGUUGUAUAUUUAAGUUCUGGCUUUGUCCCCUGAGCUGUCAAGGUGGAAAAGGCAGGAGGAAUAAGUUCCCAGGUGGGUGGACAUUAUUGGUUAUUAGCAGUGUCUAGCCUGGUAGUGUUUUUUUUUUAUGGUGCAAGUAGCUCAUCUUUAGCCCUCAUUGGACUCAUUUUUCCAAGACUAGUGGCCUUUCUGGAUCUGUGACCCUGUCCAGAAUUGGGAUUUUUAAAAAAUCUUUGUCCCUUUUGGAGGGAUAUCUAUGAAACAUAACCACUCCCUAGAAUGUUUAGGGGGACUCUCAGCCCUGUAUCUGUGGGGAACACAAACCAGCUGUUCAGCUAAGUUAGCUGCUGGCUCAUCUGGAGCUGCCUCUUGUAGUUCCCCCCCAAGUUAUAGCCUUGUGGUUGCCAGCCCCCUUUAAUUGGGUCCUUCAUUUCGGAGUCUGUUAUUUGCAUCAUGUCUCAUUGUGACUGGAGGGCUAUACUUUUUCCUAAACUCAACGGUUCAGUAAGAUGUAUGAUGGAAUCCAAUGAUUCAUCUGUCCCAUGAAUAAUAGAAGUGUGUGUGUUGGCAGGGAGGGCCAUGACAUACUGGAAGGAAAUUACCUUUAAAUAGGAUCUUGAAUUGAAUAUUAGAUCAGGCUGUGGGAACAAAAUAAAACAAAAGAAAAAUACCCUCCACUUUUCCCAUUUAACCCCUUCCCAGGAGCAUUAACUACAAAAAUGACCAAAGGGUCUUCUUCAGUGCACUAGCAACUAUAAAUGGUGUACUGGUAUGGAUUUCUAUGACACUAAUAAUGUCAACUGACCGUAACUAGUUAUAUUCUAGGAAAAAUGGGCCAAUUGUCUUCUGCUUUUUGAUCCUACCUAAACUUGGGAUAGAAUGCCACUUUUGACUUAGGUCACCAAUAACUUUAGACUCCAAACUGUGAUUUUUAAAUUUUCAUCCUCUGUUCAGUGUUGACUUCCAUCAUGGCAAAAACAAGGAUUGAAAUCCCCAUCCCAGAAUUCAAGAUUAUUUAUGAUUUCGGUUGCAAUGGCUUAAAGAUGAGGGCCAGGAAGCUAGACUACUCAGGGAUAAUCCUCACUCUGUGUAAUCCUGGACAAGUCACUUCACCUCUUUGAGCCUUAGCAUUCUCAUCAAUAAGAUGAGAAUAAUAAUAAUAAUAUCAUCUACCCCAUGUGGUUGUUGGGAGGGUUGAAUAGGUUUACAGAUGCAAUGCACUACACAGUUGCUCACUUAGCGAACCAGAUUUGCUGUUAAUAUUAAUUUUUAUUCCAUUUUCUUUACUCCUGGCUAUUGUUCUAGCUCAAAUAUCCCUACAUUUAUGAAGCUAUGUCUAUGUGUCUGUCUUGCUCACUAGUGUGUGCACAGUACCAGACACUGUGCCUGUCAUACACUAGAUGCUUCAUAAAUAUUUGUAAAAUGAUUGAAUGAGUAAAUAUAUUUUCCCAUUUAGGACUUUUUCAAAACUUUGGUAUUACUUUGUAUCUACUGUCUUUCAUGGACUUAACCACAUUUAACUUUUAUUGGAGUUAAUUGUGCUUUCAACCAAACUAUCUUAUCCAGAUGGUCAGCCCUUGAAGAGUAGCACCUGGGUCAAUUGUUUUGUAUUUCCUGUGAGGUCGUGCAUGGAGGGCAAUAAAUAUUUUGUAAAUAAUUAAUCCCCAUUGGAAUUUGUGGUCUUAAGCCAUUAAGUUGCUGCUUUUUUUUCUAGAAGCAGAGAUACAAAUGUGCAAAGACUAUCCUUGCAACAACCUCACAUCCUGUUGCUUGCUUUCUUUUAUUUCUUUAAUUUUUUUUAUUGUAAAGUUAAUAGGGUUACAGUUACAUAAGUCAGGUAAAUGAGUACAUUUCUUUUGAACAGUGUUACCUCUUCCCUCAUCUUCUCCCAGUUUUUCCCUCCCGACACAAGUUGUAUAGUUCAUUUCCAUCAUAGAGUCUAGUGAGUAUCACUACUGAAUUAGUUCACCCCUUUGUCCCACCAUUUUCAUGCUUCCCUUUAUCCUCCCCUAGUCAGAAAAACUUACAUACAAAAGGUUCAGAAAUCGCAAACAGCAACAAAGGGGGAAAACCAGAAAAAACAACAACACACACACACACACACACACACACGCACACACACACACACACACACAAAACAACUCUUGUUCGCAUUUCUUGGAGUUCAUUUCGAUAAAGGAAGUGAUAGAAGGAAAAGUGGAAGAGGUGGCCUAAAGUGGGAAUGGGUGUUUUGUGAUAAAAAUACAAGUUCGGUUCAAAGAACAGAUCGGUGUUAAAAGUUUUAGUCGAGUUUAACAAUUACUGAAAAUGUAUAGGUUCCAAUCUGUUUGGAACUCAUGCAAAUGUAGCUUAUGUUUUUUGUUGUUGUUGUUUUGUAAAAUCUUUGACAUGAAACUCCUUGACUCUAUCUGAAAAAUAAUAAGAUUAUUGGGGGACUAAGCUAAUCAUUUGCUGUGCUCCUUAGGCCCAUGUAUUGGAAAGCAGUGGCUCUAGUGAGCAACCAAGGCCUGCACCUCAUUGGCUAUGGCCGGUUAGAGAGAAUGAGAGAUCACUUGAGUAGUGGUCCAAUAUGAGAGCAAAUUUGGUCCACAAGUGAGUCAGGCUCCUUCCUAGAUGCCCAAAAGAAAGGAAGCAGGUGCCAAUUGGCACCUGAAGAAAGCUCCCUGUUUUAUUUAGGAUCAGGAAACACAUGGUUGAGCUGGGAAGUAGAAAGUGAACGAUAUUGUCACCAUUUACACAUAGAGGAAAAACCAUGUGCCUCAAAACAGAUCUAAUGGCAUAGGUUGGGGCGAUUUUCCCCCCUCACUUUGAUCUUUGAUUAUUAUCUUUUUCAUGUAGCCUGAAUUUGGCAAAUUGGUGCAAUUAAAAAUACAUUUUUCAUGGUAAGCUAAAUGCUAUUGCACUCCCCCAAGCCUCAAUGGCUUAACUCAAUACAUGUUUAUUUCUCACUUAAACCACAGUUCAAUGUGGGCUGGUAGUAGUGGAAAAGGGUGUUGUCUUGCUCCUGUCAUUCAAGGACCCAGGCCCCUUACAUCUUGCAGCUCCACCUUUCUUCAGGACUUAGUCCAGGAAGGACAAGUGGAAGGUGGGAGAAUGAGAAGGUGAUUUGCAUGGACCAGACUCCCAACUACAUUCUGCUGUCCAGAUGGCUUCACCUAGUCACAGAGAAGCUGGGAGAUGUAGUCUAUCAAUGUACCCAGAGAAAAGUCAAAUGAUCUUGUCAAAAAAUGGAUCAAUCUCUGGUCCCGUCAUCCCCCCCCC